GACGAACGCUGGCGGCGUGCUUAACACAUGCAAGUCGAACGGGUCUGCCCUGUUUUUUGCGGGGUGGGUCAGUGGCGAACGGGUGAGUAACACGUGAGUAACCUGCCCCUCACUUCUGGAUAACCGCUUGAAAGGGUGGCUAAUACGGGGUGUUCUGGCUGUGCCGCAUGGUGUGGCUGGGAAAGAUUCACUUUUGUGGUGCUUUGGUGGGGGAUGGGCUCGCGGCCUAUCAGCUUGUUGGUGGGGUGAUGGCCUGCCAAGGCUUUGACGGGUAGCCGGCCUGAGAGGGUGGGCGGUCACACUGGGACUGAGAUACGGCCCAGACUCCUGCGGGAGGCAGCAGUGGGGGGUAUUGCACAAUGGGCGGAAGCCUGAUGCAGCGACGUCGCGUGAGGGAUGGAGGCCUUCGGGUUGUGAACCUCUUUCGCCGGUGAAGAAGGUCCUGCUCUUUGUGGUGGGGUUGACGGUAGCCGGGUUAUGAAGCGCCGGCUAACUACGUG
RNAcentral lists this ribosomal RNA (500 nucleotides) under uncultured bacterium. RNAcentral's name for it is "partial 16S ribosomal RNA". It matches the Rfam family "Bacterial small subunit ribosomal RNA", at positions 28 to 507 of the family's 1533-position model. The record is from RNAcentral.